UGGGUAAUAUUGGACAAUGGGCGAAAGCCUGAUCCAGCCAUGCCGCGUGUGUGAAGAAGGUCUUCGGAUUGUAAAGCACUUUAAGUUGGGAGGAAGGGCAGUAAGCGAAUACCUUGCUGUUUUGACGUUACCGACAGAAUAAGCACCGGCUAACUCUGUGCCAGCAGCCGCGGUAAUACAGAGGGUGCAAGCGUUAAUCGGAAUUACUGGGCGUAAAGCGCGCGUAGGUGGUUCGUUAAGUUGAAUGUGAAAGCCCCGGGCUCAACCUGGGAACUGCAUCCAAAACUGGCGGGCUAGAGUAGGGCAGAGGGUGGUGGAAUUUCCUGUGUAGCGGUGAAGUGCGUAGAUAUAGGAAGGAACACCAGUGGCGAAGGCGACCACCUGGGCUCAUACUGACACUGAGGUGCGAAGGCGUGGGGAGCAAACAGG
This 429-nucleotide ribosomal RNA is filed under the name Pseudomonadota bacterium. RNAcentral describes it as "Proteobacteria bacterium partial 16S ribosomal RNA". It matches the Rfam family "Bacterial small subunit ribosomal RNA", at positions 355 to 776 of the family's 1533-position model. The record is from RNAcentral. Lineage: Bacteria; Pseudomonadati; Pseudomonadota.